This 305-nucleotide ribosomal RNA is filed under the name uncultured bacterium. RNAcentral's name for it is "bacterial SSU rRNA". It matches the Rfam family "Bacterial small subunit ribosomal RNA", at positions 337 to 639 of the family's 1533-position model. The record is from RNAcentral.
UCCUACGGGAGGCAGCAGUGAGGAAUAUUGGUCAAUGGGCGCAAGCCUGAACCAGCCAAGUCGCGUGAGGGAUGACGGUCCUAUGGAUUGUAAACCUCUUUUGUCGGGGAGCAAGGCCCGCCACGUGUGGCGGGAAGGAGAGUACCCGAAGAAAAAGCAUCGGCUAACUCCGUGCCAGCAGCCGCGGUAAUACGGAGGAUGCGAGCGUUAUCCGGAUUUAUUGGGUUUAAAGGGUGCGUAGGCGGAAGGUUAAGUCAGCGGUCAAAUGUCGGUGCUUAACGCCGGCCUGCCGUUGAAACUGGUCU